The sequence is a small nuclear RNA, 63 nucleotides long. Its record names the gene U7. It matches the Rfam family "U7 small nuclear RNA". Rfam says of the family: Animal histone pre-mRNAs are spliced by a different mechanism than nuclear pre-mRNAs and self-splicing introns. The record is from Ensembl.
AAGUGUUACAACUCUUUUAGAAUUUGUCUAGCAGGUUUUUUGACUUCGGUCGGAUACUCCUCC